Molecule: long non-coding RNA, 2005 nt
Filed under: Homo sapiens (human)
Lineage: Eukaryota; Metazoa; Chordata; Mammalia; Primates; Hominidae
Description: HSALNT0302888
Source: RNAcentral
AUUCAGGUCAGGUCAAAGCCUAGAGAAAAAUGCGCAUUCAGAAGUGGGCUGCCAUCCUGCUUUUUCUGAAGUGAACAGCUGCUGGGUAUUGAAACCAGCCCUCACGGUUGGGUCCCUGCCACCAUGGCAACACUCUGGUUUCUGAGCUGGAGUGGCCAAGGCACAAUGGGGUGGUUCCAUGGCCCAGAAGCACUCUAGCUACAGAUUAGUUUAUUUCAGGACUAUAUUAAGUUUCCCAACUUCUGUCAUGAUAUAGUCCAAAGAGAACCUGGACCACGCAGACAUCAAACAGAACAUGACACUGACCCAUUCUAUCAGUGACGUUGUGCUGAUUGCACAGGACAGAUGAGAGGCUCGUAUACUAGAAGUCUUGUCAUAUGAUACUUCAAAAUCUGUGAUUCCAUGAAGCCAAGAGUAGCUCUUCAACAGGAAAUGAAUGAGUGCUUCAGCUUCUGAUCCCAUUAGUAAGAAAAUACAGUCUUAUGAGCAAUGAUGGAGCUGCAUCUCUUAGGGGCAUUUGAUUCCCAAGAGACCAAAGAGCAAAGAGAAUGUCAAUUUAAAAAAAUCAAAUGUUUCCAUGACUUAGCUAUUUAACUGCUUUAAAAUGAAUGAAUGCUGCUUCAAGUUCUUUCAAAUACCCCACAUCUUGGCAACAACGAAAGGAAUUAACAUGAAGAAAAUUUACAAUCUUUCAUCACAUCGAACAAUGUCCCACAUUUGAAAAGUUCACAGCACAGAUUUCUGGUUACUGAAAGAAAGGAAAGACCUUCUUUGGAUUUGAAUAAACAGAUGGACUUUCUUCUCCUUUUUCUUAUAGUGCCCGAUUUGUGUAAAGGGAGGUGGGAAGAAAACAUCUUAGCUUAAAAGAGUGUCCUAUAAAAUAAAAGGUUUCAUACUUGCCUAUAGCUAAUCUCUGAAGGUGGUUACAAAAGAGGAUUUCUGAAACAUUUUAUAUGCAAUGGCCCAGACAUUUGCAUAAGUGGUCAAACUUUCAAGAUGACAACUUAAAAAUAUAAUACUCCUUUUGGACAAGCUUGUUUUUAAAAUAGCAGCAUCAUUAACUUUGGCAAAUCCAAUUCUUAAAUAUCCUUUAAAAUAGUUGAUAAAAGAAAGAAGGUAUCAGAACUAUAUAAUGGUUGCACUGCAUUUUUUAAAACCUCUUAUUUUGAAAUAAUUUUAGAAUCACAGAAAGUUGCAAAUAUAGUAUAAGGAGUCCCAUGUGCCCUACAUGAUGACAUCUUAUAAAGGGAUAGUAUAAUAUCAAAACCAAGAAAUUGACAUUGGCACAUUACUGUUAUUUUUUUAUUAUACUUUAAGUUUUAGAGUACGUGUGCACAACGUGCAGGUUUCUUACAUAUGCAUACAUGUGCCAUGCUGGUGUGCUGCACCCAUUAACUCGUCAUUUAAUAUUAGGUAUAUCUCCUAAUGCUAUCCCUCCCCCCUCCCCCCACCCCACAACAGGCCCCAGUGUGUGAUGUUCCCCUUCCUGUGUCCAUGUGUUCUCAUUGUUCAAUUCCCACCUAUGAGUGAGAACAUGCGGUGUUUGGUUUUUUUGUCCUUGCGAUAGUUUGCUGAGAAUGAUGGUUUCCAGCUUCAUCCAUGUCCCUACAAAGGACAUGAACUCAUCAUUUUUUAUGGCUGCAUAGUAUUCCAUGGGGUAUAUGUGCCACAUUUUCUUAAUCCAGUCUAUCAUUGUUGGACAUUUGGCUUGGUUCCAAGUCUUUGCUAUUGUGAAUAGUGCCACAAUAAACAUACAUGUGCAUGUGUCUUUAUAGCAGCAUGAUUUAUAAUGCUUUGGGUAUAUACCCAGUAAUGGGACGGCUGGGUCAAAUGGUAUUUCUAGUUCUAGAUCCCUGAGGAAUCGCCACACUGAAUUCCACAAUGGUUGAACGAGUUUACAGUCCCACCAACAGUGUAAAAGUGUUCCUAUUUCUCCACAUCUUUUCCAGCACCUGUUGUUUCCUGACUUUUUAAUGAUUGCCAUUCUAACUGGUGUGAGAUGGUA